CGGGGAUUGGCCUAAUUGGUAAGGCGCUUGUCUCGGGGACAAGAGUAUAGUGGUUCGAGCCCACUAUCCCCGA
RNAcentral lists this transfer RNA (73 nucleotides) under Minisyncoccota bacterium. RNAcentral describes it as "tRNA-Pro". It matches the Rfam family "tRNA". Rfam says of the family: Transfer RNA (tRNA) molecules are approximately 80 nucleotides in length. Their secondary structure includes four short double-helical elements and three loops (D, anti-codon, and T loops). Further hydrogen bonds mediate the characteristic L-shaped molecular structure. tRNAs have two regions of fundamental functional importance: the anti-codon, which is responsible for specific mRNA codon recognition, and the 3' end, to which the tRNAs corresponding amino acid is attached (by aminoacyl-tRNA synthetases). tRNAs cope with the degeneracy of the genetic code in two manners: having more than one tRNA (with a specific anti-codon) for a particular amino acid; and 'wobble' base-pairing, i.e. permitting non-standard base-pairing at the 3rd anti-codon position. Lineage: Bacteria; Bacillati; Minisyncoccota. The record is from RNAcentral.